UGGGGAAUUUUGGACAAUGGGCGAAAGCCUGAUCCAGCAAUGCCGCGUGUGUGAAGAAGGCCUUCGGGUUGUAAAGCACUUUUGUCCGGAAAGAAAUCCUUGGCUCUAAUACAGUCGGGGGAUGACGGUACCGGAAGAAUAAGCACCGGCUAACUACGUGCCAGCAGCCGCGGUAAUACGUAGGGUGCAAGCGUUAAUCGGAAUUACUGGGCGUAAAGCGUGCGCAGGCGGUUUGCUAAGACCGAUGUGAAAUCCCCGGGCUCAACCUGGGAACUGCAUUGGUGGCUGGCAGGCUAGAGUAUGGCAGAGGGGGGUAGAAUUCCACGUGUAGCAGUGAAAGUGCGUAGAGAUGUGGAGGAAUACCGAUGGCGAAGGCAGCCCCCUGGGCCAAUACUGACGCUCAUGCACGAAAGCGUGGGGAGCAAACAGGAUUAGAUACCCUGGAUAGUCCACGCCCAUAAACGAUGUCAACUAGUUGUUGGGGAUUCAUUUCCUUAGUAACGUAGCUAACGCGUGAAG
Molecule: ribosomal RNA, 519 nt
Filed under: uncultured bacterium
Lineage: Bacteria
Description: partial 16S ribosomal RNA
Rfam family: Bacterial small subunit ribosomal RNA
Source: RNAcentral